AAACUGCGAUAAGUAAUGUGAAUUGCAGAAUUCAGUGAAUCAUCGAAUCUUUGAACGCACAUUGCGCUCGCCAGUAUUCUGGCGAGCAUGCCUGUUCGAGCGUCAUUUCAACCAUCAAGCUCUGCUUGCGUUGGGGAUCCGCGGCUGCCCGCGGUCCCUCAAAAACAGUGGCGGGCUCGCUAGUCACACCGAGCGUAGUAACUCUACAUCGCUAUGGUCGUGCGGCGGGUUCUUGCCGUAAAACCCCCAAUUUCUAAGGUUGACCUCGGAUCAGGUAGGAAUACCCGCUGAACUUAAGC
Molecule: unclassified non-coding RNA, 299 nt
Filed under: plant metagenome
Description: partial contains 5.8S ribosomal RNA, internal transcribed spacer 2, and large subunit ribosomal RNA
Rfam family: 5.8S ribosomal RNA (bases 1-105)
Source: RNAcentral